Molecule: long non-coding RNA, 330 nt
Organism: Mugil cephalus (flathead mullet)
Lineage: Eukaryota; Metazoa; Chordata; Actinopteri; Mugiliformes; Mugilidae
Exons: 4
Source: RefSeq, a predicted model, not a curated record
CCGCAAAGGAUUGUGGGAAAUAAGACGCUAUUUGAAGUUUUUAUUUUUCACGACACCUGCGCGUCCCGGUUACAGUAGAUUGCUAUUAAGGUACCUCACACACGGGAGCGGGAGAAGGCGCAGCUGUUAAUGAAACGAGGCGGCAAGUGAUUCUCGCUGAGCGAGGAUCGUAUUCACCGAACGCGCCGGGAGGAGCGGAUGAAGCCCGAACCACAGAAAGUGAUGGAUUAUCGUCUCCUCCAGGCAAACGGAUCAUCAACGGUACAACUGGCCUGCUGUUCCUGUUUAGUCUUCUCCAUAGCUAUGCAAGCCACGCGCCUGAACAUGGAC